Molecule: long non-coding RNA, 225 nt
Filed under: Cicer arietinum (chickpea)
Lineage: Eukaryota; Viridiplantae; Streptophyta; Magnoliopsida; Fabales; Fabaceae
Description: long non-coding RNA (CARI_LNC001246)
Source: RNAcentral
UUAAAGAGUUUAUUAUUUAGACUAAUAUUUUGUAUCAAUUGCAUAAAAUAAGUAAAAUUAAUAGAAAAAAUUGUGUUAAGUUUGAAGAUGUUCAUUGUAUGGGUUCAAAAACUCUCCCAAAGCUUAUUGAUGAGAAGGUUUAUUUCUAUUUGUAUUUUCAUGACUUUAAUUUGAAUUAAAAAAAUAAAAUGUAUUUAACUUGUUUGUUUGGUUGUAGAUAAAAAA